This 429-nucleotide ribosomal RNA is filed under the name Bacteroidota bacterium. RNAcentral's name for it is "Bacteroidetes bacterium partial 16S ribosomal RNA". It matches the Rfam family "Bacterial small subunit ribosomal RNA", at positions 355 to 776 of the family's 1533-position model. RNAcentral also lists the same sequence under 1 other name. Lineage: Bacteria; Pseudomonadati; Bacteroidota. The record is from RNAcentral.
UAGGGAAUCUUCGGCAAUGGGGGGAACCCUGACCGAGCAACGCCGCGUGAGUGAAGAAGGUUUUCGGAUCGUAAAGCUCUGUUGUUAAGGAAGAACGAGUGUGAGAAUGGAAAGUUCAUGCUGUGACGGUACUUAACCAGAAAGGGACGGCUAACUACGUGCCAGCAGCCGCGGUAAUACGUAGGUCCCGAGCGUUGUCCGGAUUUAUUGGGCGUAAAGCGAGCGCAGGCGGUUAGAAAAGUCUGAAGUGAAAGGCAGUGGCUCAACCAUUGUAGGCUUUGGAAACUGUUUAGCUUGAGUGCAGAAGGGGAGAGUGGAAUUCCAUGUGUAGCGGUGAAAUGCGUAGAUAUAUGGAGGAACACCGGUGGCGAAAGCGGCUCUCUGGUCUGUAACUGACGCUGAGGCUCGAAAGCGUGGGGAGCGAACAGG